CGAGCCCAGGGUAAAGAAUUACGUACACCCCGGGUACAUAUCGAUAUGUACAAAUAUACGAAGAGCCUGUGGUAUGGUAUGGGUAGUUACACUAGUACCGCCGGCCUCUACGACGCCGGUAGACAAUCGAUACUGUUGCUGACAAGGUCUGCUCUCUACACUCGGUGUCUACACAGGUCGAAACCGGAGGCCAUCUUUACGUGGCUCUUGACAAAGAAACCAUUCGUCGUGUUCCAGUCACGACUUGAGACUUGACUUUGACCGUUUUCUCCGCGCAUUUGAAUCAUAAUUGAAUCUUGACGCUUCGAGCGCUGCUACCACUACCGCCUCUACUCAAGUGGUAACAGGAUUGGGUUGUAAAAAUAUUAUUAAUUUUGAGGUAGACUCACGUGAGCGCCGGACUUUGGUCGGCGAGAUGCACAAGGCCAACCGGUGGACUUUCCAGUGGCUGACAAGCUUGGAUUAAAGUGACAGACGUCCUACCAGGCUCAUGGGGGACAGGAUGGGACAAAUCUCCAGACAUUACCGCUUACACGCCGUCGAAGAUGCUUCAACAGCGCACUGCAAAGAAUCGAGAGAUGAUUUACAAAGUGCUAAAUCGAAUCUUUCGUCAUACAAAAUUGUGGAACUCUUGGAAAAGCUUCGAAAGCCAAAAGGUUAGUGAGCGUAAUUGGGGAUAACGAAAAUGGCAGACUAGGUAAGUCGAAGAGAGUUUAUAGGCUGAGUUUCGGCCAGCAGUUAAGAUGAUAAAAAUCUGUGAGUCAAAUCGAACGGUGCACAGCUUUCCCCGGCAC
Molecule: long non-coding RNA, 794 nt
Organism: Neodiprion fabricii
Lineage: Eukaryota; Metazoa; Arthropoda; Insecta; Hymenoptera; Diprionidae
Exons: 3
Source: RefSeq, a predicted model, not a curated record